Long non-coding RNA from Lagopus muta (rock ptarmigan), 3003 nucleotides. RefSeq lists it as uncharacterized. The transcript has 3 exons. The record is from RefSeq and is a predicted model, not a curated record. Lineage: Eukaryota; Metazoa; Chordata; Aves; Galliformes; Phasianidae.
AUUAUUUUUGUCUUGGCUCACGUAGUCCCAAUGUUACAAUUACCCGCUGACCUCAAACACUUACUUUUAAAAUUACCCCUCUUCAGCAAACCCUCUGUCUAGUGGGUUGGGUGGUUUUUUAUUUUUUAUGUCUAAAUGGUUAAAUAGUGGGUGUGGUUGAGGAGAGAGACAAAAAGAAAGCUUGCAGAGCAGGCAGGAGGGGGAAGGCUGUGAGGGUCUUAGCAUGGAGAAGCCCACACGCUCCAUAGAGGAGGCACAAGGCUUCCUCUCCUUCCUCAGUAACAUCUUCUUCUGCAGGGUCAGGUUUCUUCAGUGGCAAACAUCAUUUCAUAAUGGUUUCUGUUCCUCAUAGGUGUGCGUUGAGACUAAUUCUUGCAGCCGUGGCAUAACCCAGAUAAUCAAAGCAGCAUCCUUUGGAUGCAGGGUGAAAGUUAGGAGUUGUCUGUAAACUGAUGUUGAACAUAAUGAAAAAAAAACCAGGCCAGCAACUCCAAAGCACUCAAAGCCUGAAGACAAACACAGGUGGGGAGAGGCAGCCAUGACUGCAAAGGUGUGUUCACCAUGCAGGAGAGAUGUCAGUCAUCCAUGGCUCAGUGUUCCAUUAAAUUGUCUGCAAAGCUUCUCAGAAUGUACAGAAAUCUCUUCAGGAGGGAGAGAGGACCAUCUUGUUCAGGGAUGGAGAACACAAGGGAAUGCGACACCAGUCUAUUGUAGUGAUGGAAAAAAAGGGGAAGCUGCUGAUAGGAGAAUGCACAAUUCCUCACAACCAGAGCACUCACGAAGCUCCUUCAGGUUACUGUGUGCUAGGGCUUUCCCUCCAUACUCUUACUGGUCUCAAAGCCCAGCUGAACUGACUUAAGUCUCAUUGGAACCACUGUGAAAGAUAAGGCACCAAGCAGCAUGAAGAGCUUCAGCUGGGCUGGUUUUGAAAGCCAGUCUUCAACGAAAUUCUGUCACCUGUAAGGCCAGCAGCUUAUUAGGGUCACACAUCACCAACAAAAAGCAGAAGUCGGUGCUGGUGGAGGAAGCCUACCAGCAGUGUCCCGAGCUGCAGGUGUUUCUAAUGGGAGCUGCUGCUCAGGGUGUGUUCUGCUCUGUGCUAUUGAGGAGCUGGGUAAGGCUGAGAGGCAGAAGGUGGAUCUGGAUGCUGUUGGACUGGAAUGAUCUCAGAUAUUUUUUUUGUGAGUGUUGCUGAGGAGCUGCCAGCUGCAAUGGCCACGUCUCACUGCAGAUAAACAGACUUUUGCUUUGGGCAAAAGGCUCGUUCAGGAUCAGAGGAGCUGCACAAGCACACUGGGACAUUGUGAGAACAAACGGACCUAACACCCUCCCAGACUGAAUGGCAUUUUUAUGCUGCUUAUCGCGCUGACCUAAUUCAAACUUCUGGACAGUCAAGUUUGGAAUGAGCUGCCUGAGAGCAAACCAGCUCAAGGCCUUGGAUUCUGUUCUUGCUGUGCCACUUACAGUUUCACCCAUAUGUUUUCAGAGCAGCAGCAUUUUUCUCCUGCAAGAGUGGGGCUGGGAGUCUCAGGCUGAAACAUGGGAAGUGUGGUCUGGACUGAGACCCCUGGGAGCAGGAAAGUCCUGCAGUGUGAAUAGGCAAAUUAAUUCUCUUAGGGCAGGGCGCCAUUUACCAGCACAAAGUUUUUGAGUGCUGGCUAAAUUAUUUGUUCAACAUCCUAAAAAUGAAAACCCUUUGGCUGAAGCCUUUGUAGGUGUUUUAAGAGUGGUGAAAUUGAGACUAAUGUUUGGGAGGAACUCAGGCAAGAGAAAAACAAACUGUAGAGGAUAAUUUUUAGGAAAAAUGAAAAGUUUUCAAUGCAGACAUGAUGUGCCAAAGCUGUGCUACAGCAGGAGCUCUGACAGGAAUUGUGGAUAUCUUCUCUCUCAGUGUGGGAAUAUCCUCCAAGGGAUCUCCACCAAAGCCCUGUUUUUAGCUCAUUGCAAGUCACUAAAGCUCUGCUGCUCUUCAUUGAUGGCUUCUGCUCCAGAGCUGUGAAUCAAGGUGCCUGCUCAUGCCGUUUACAUUGGCAGCUAUGGAUGUCGUGCUGGUGGACACAGGGUGGGGCUGAGUGUGCCUGGGCCCUUCUCGCACUGCUUCUCCCUGUCCUCUAGAGGCUGGCAUGGAUGAACAGGACAGCCUUGGAAAAUAUUAGCGUCUCACAGUGAGUGCUGGUUCUAAGAUGUGCCCAAAGGAAGCCAGCCUGUGCUCAGGGGAAUGACCAAGCAGCUGGGUGAAAUUCUCUGGGCUCUGUGUUCGGAGCAAAGCAGGAAACUCUGAGUUCACCUGAGUACACUCCAUCUUAGCCCACUCUGUCCACUUCUAAUGAUGAUUGUAUAAAAAAUAAACAUCCUUGUAAACAAUUUUGUUCCUCCAUAUGCUACUCUGGGUGUUAACAAAGCAGCCAUGCAGGCUAAGCCAGGCUGGUUCUGCUGAGCGUGGUGCUACUAUGGAGUCCUUGCUGGCAUUCAUCACAGAGCGUCUCAACCUCGCUUUAACCCACCAUUGCUCCAUCUGUGCAUCUUGGUGCAUUUGCCAGCCACGCAUCGUGUGGUUCAAUGUGAUCUCUGAGAUUUUCCACACGGGCCAGUAGGUAUUGGAGUCUGAGUUAUUUUCAGCCUGUCUGCGACAUCCAAUUCCACCCACGCGGCCUGUGUGGCUAUAUAAAUGGUGGAGGUGUUUGGAAUAACAGGCCCGGAGGAAACAUCUGUCAGCUCCGAAGGCUUGUGAGCGCAGCACGAGGCGUUCAGCUUGCCGUCUUACUGCGCCUUCCUCUGACUGUAAGGAAGCGGAGCAGCACGAGGCUCUGUCACAUGGCCUGACCGCCUCAGCACUCAGGUUUUCAAAUUGCCUUCGUCAUUCAUUUGGCCCGUGGAGGUAAAGCCUGCCCAGAAAUCAGGAUGGCACCUUAACCUUUAUCCUCUGAAGGGCUGUUUCUCUUCCUUCUCUUUUUGUAUUUUCACUGCAAAACGGCAUCUCUUCAUUUUACCACAGAGCUAGCU